CUACGGGGGGCUGCAGUGGGGAAUAUUGGACAAUGGGGGAAACCCUGAUCCAGCAAUGCCGCGUGUGUGAAGAAGGCCUGCGGGUUGUAAAGCACUUUCGGUUGGGAGGACUGCUUCUAGCACUAAUAUUGUUGGAAGUUGACGUUACCUUCAGAAGAAGCACCGGCUAACUCCGUGCCAGCAGCCGCGGUAAUACGGGGGGUGCAAGCGUUAAUCGGAAUUACUGGGCGUAAAGCGCGCGUAGGCGGCUAGAUCAGUCGGGUGUGAAAGCCCCGGGCUUAACCUGGGAACUGCAUCCGAUACUGUCUAGCUUGAGUACAGGAGAGGAGAGUGGAAUGCCACAUGUAGCGGUGAAAUGCGUAGAUAUGUGGAGGAACACCAAUGGCGAAGGCAGCUCUCUGGCCUGAUACUGACGCUGAGGUGCGAAAGCGUGGGGAGCAAACAGGAUUAGAUACCCCGGUAGUC
RNAcentral lists this ribosomal RNA (465 nucleotides) under uncultured bacterium. Its description in RNAcentral is "partial 16S ribosomal RNA". It matches the Rfam family "Bacterial small subunit ribosomal RNA", at positions 339 to 795 of the family's 1533-position model. The record is from RNAcentral.